This 742-nucleotide ribosomal RNA is filed under the name uncultured bacterium. RNAcentral describes it as "bacterial SSU rRNA". It matches the Rfam family "Bacterial small subunit ribosomal RNA", at positions 8 to 796 of the family's 1533-position model. The record is from RNAcentral.
AGAGUUUGAUCCUGGCUCAGAACGAACGCUGGCGGCAUGCCUAACACAUGCAAGUCGAACGAAGGCUUCGGCCUUAGUGGCGCACGGGUGAGUAACACGUGGGAACCUGCCUCUUUGUUCGGAAUAACACCGGGAAACUGGUGCUAAUACCGGAUACGCCCUACGGGGGAAAGAUUUAUCGCAGAGAGAGGGGCCCGCGUCCGAUUAGGUAGUUGGUGGGGUAAUGGCCUACCAAGCCGACGAUCGGUAGCUGGUCUGAGAGGAUGAUCAGCCACACUGGGACUGAGACACGGCCCAGACUCCUACGGGAGGCAGCAGUGGGGAAUAUUGGACAAUGGGCGCAAGCCUGAUCCAGCAAUGCCGCGUGAAUGAUGAAGGCCUUAGGGUUGUAAAGUUCUUUCGUCGGGGACGAUGAUGACGGUACCCGAAGAAGAAGCCCCGGCUAACUUCGUGCCAGCAGCCGCGGUAAUACGAAGGGGGCUAGCGUUGUUCGGAAUUACUGGGCGUAAAGGGCGCGUAGGCGGCCAUUCAAGUUAGAUGUGAAAGCCCUGGGCUCAACCUAGGAAUUGCAUUUGAUACUGUUUGGCUUGAGUUCGGGAGAGGUGAGUGGAAUUCCCAGUGUAGAGGUGAAAUUCGUAGAUAUUGGGAAGAACACCAGUGGCGAAGGCGGCUCACUGGACCGACACUGACGCUGAGGCGCGAAAGCGUGGGGAGCAAACAGGAUUAGAUACCCUAGUAGUCC